Molecule: long non-coding RNA, 215 nt
Filed under: Carica papaya (papaya)
Lineage: Eukaryota; Viridiplantae; Streptophyta; Magnoliopsida; Brassicales; Caricaceae
Description: long non-coding RNA (CPAP_LNC000790)
Source: RNAcentral
UUCCUAACUUUAUUUUUUUGAGUUACUAUUUUUUGGUCCUUACUCAAGCACAAAAGAAGAACAGUUUUUAAUCUAAUGGUCAAUGUUCUAAGGAGCAAUUUAAAACAAGUCAUGGUGUAGGGUGUUAUGCAUGCUAAUGAAGGCAUUGAUGUCAAUGAGAUUGAUGAUAUAAUAAUUACAUGAAUGAAAACCAUCUUAGCUUUAUGGAUAGAUCU